This is a long non-coding RNA of Peromyscus eremicus (cactus mouse), 602 nucleotides long. RefSeq lists it as uncharacterized. The transcript has 2 exons. Lineage: Eukaryota; Metazoa; Chordata; Mammalia; Rodentia; Cricetidae. The record is from RefSeq and is a predicted model, not a curated record.
UAUGUGUAGCACAUGGGUUGAUCCACAUUGUUGUAAAUAGUUCCUAACAAUAAAAUCCAGAAAAAUUCAAGAAAUUCAAAGUUAAGAAGUUGAUCUGAUUGAAUCUUUUCACUUAUUCAUACAGGUACUAAAAAUUUUUUGUGCACUAUAAGACAGACACUGUGCAAGACAGUGGAAGAAACAAAUAAGAAAUAUGGGCUUUAAGAACAAGAUGCUACACCCACUGGGAAACAAGUGAGGUUCAACAUAAGCUCUGGGUCAAAGAAAUCUGUGACUAUGUGGCAGCUCAUAGAAGGUGCACGGAAUCCAGAGACAUAAUAAAGGUAGAGAUAAAGUGACAACAAUAACAACAGUCAUUAAAGAUGAAGAUGACAGAGCAAAGGCUAAGAAAUUCUCAAGUGUCACCUACCACAAGUACAGAGUUAAAGCAGCUUGAAGAACCAAAAAAUUCAAAAUUCAAAAUUAACCCCAAGACAUUGCUCACAGUCUCUGUGAUAAAUGACAAACAACUGUUCUGCCUCUCAGAAGAUUACAUUUCCCCUGUCUAAAGUAUUAUUUACUUGGAUCAAUAUGGAAUGAAAAUACGAUGAGUUGAGGAAUGA